GACGAACGCUGGCGGCGUGCUUAACACAUGCAAGUCGAACGGCAAGGCCCUGCUUUUGUGGGGUGCUCGAGUGGCGAACGGGUGAGUAACACGUGAGUAACCUGCCCUUGACUUUGGGGUAACUUCAGGAAACUGGGGCUAAUACCGGAUAGGAGCUCCUGCUGCAUGGUGGGGGUUGGAAAGUGUCGGCGGGGGGGGAUGGACGGGCGGGUUAUCAGCUUGUUGGUGGGGUAGUGGCUUACCAGGGCUUUGACGGGUAGUCGGCCUGAGAGGGUGACCGGCCACAGUGGGACUGAGAGAGGGACCAGACUCCUACGGGAGGCAGCAGGGGGGAAUAUUGCACAAUGGGCGGGAGCCUGAUGCAGCAACGCCGCGUGCGGGAUGACGGCCUUCGGGGUGUAAACCGCUUUCGCCUGUGACGAAGCGUGAGUGACGGUAAUGGGUAAAGAAGCACCGGCUAACUACGUG
RNAcentral lists this ribosomal RNA (468 nucleotides) under uncultured bacterium. RNAcentral's name for it is "partial 16S ribosomal RNA". It matches the Rfam family "Bacterial small subunit ribosomal RNA", at positions 28 to 507 of the family's 1533-position model. The record is from RNAcentral.